AACGAACGCUGGCGGCAUGCCUAACACAUGCAAGUCGAACGAGACCUUCGGGUCUAGUGGCGCACGGGUGCGUAACGCGGGGGAACCUGCCCUUAGGUUCGGAAUAACUCCCCGAAAGGUGUGCUAAGACCGGUUAAUGUCUUCGCACCAACGAUUUAUCGCCGUGGGAUGGGCGCGCGUUGGAUUAGCGAGUUGGUAGGGUAAAAGCCGAGCAAGGCGACGUUCCAUAGCUGGUCUGAGAGGAUGAUCAGCCACAAUGGGGAUGAGACACGGCCCAGAAUGGUACGGGAGGCAGCAGUGGGGAAUAUAGGGGGAGGAGCGAUAGCGUAGUCCAGCAGUGCGGCGUAAGUGAGGAAGGGCUUAGGGUUGUGAAGCUCUCUGUCCCGGGAUGAUAAUGACGGUACCGGGUGAAUAAGCUCCGGCUAACUACGUG
This 433-nucleotide ribosomal RNA is filed under the name uncultured bacterium. RNAcentral describes it as "partial 16S ribosomal RNA". It matches the Rfam family "Bacterial small subunit ribosomal RNA", at positions 29 to 507 of the family's 1533-position model. The record is from RNAcentral.